GUGUCAGCAGCCGCGGUAAUACGGAGGGUGCAAGCGUUAUCCGGAUUCACUGGGUUUAAAGGGUGCGUAGGCGGGUAAGUAAGUCAGUGGUGAAAUCUCCGGGCUUAACUCGGAAACUGCCGUUGAUACUAUUUAUCUUGAAUAUCAUGGAGGUAAGCGGAAUAUGUCAUGUAGCGGUGAAAUGCUUAGAUAUGACAUAGAACACCGAUAGCGAAGGCAGCUUACUACAUGUUAAUUGACGCUGAGGCACGAAAGCGUGGGGAGCAAACAGGAUUAGAUACCCUAGUAGUCC
This 292-nucleotide ribosomal RNA is filed under the name uncultured bacterium. RNAcentral's name for it is "partial 16S ribosomal RNA". It matches the Rfam family "Bacterial small subunit ribosomal RNA", at positions 505 to 796 of the family's 1533-position model. The record is from RNAcentral.